GGCGAACGGGUGAGUAACACGUGGGCAAUCUGCCCUGCACUCUGGGACAAGCCCUGGAAACGGGGUCUAAUACCGGAUAUUAACCGGGAGGGCAUCCUCCUGGUUGGAAACGCUCCGGCGGUGCAGGAUGAGCCCGCGGCCUAUCAGCUUGUUGGUGGGGUGAUGGCCUACCAAGGCGACGACGGGUAGCCGGCCUGAGAGGGCGACCGGCACACUGGGACUGAGACACGGACCAGACUCCUACGGGAGGCAGCAGUGGGGAAUAUUGCACAAUGGGCGAAAGCCUGAUGCAGCGACGCCGCGUGAGGGAUGACGGCCUUCGGGUUGUAAACCUCUUUCAGCAGGGAACGAAGCGCAAGUGACGGUACCUGCAGAAGAAGCACCGGCUAACUACGUGCCAGCAGCCGCGG
RNAcentral lists this ribosomal RNA (410 nucleotides) under uncultured bacterium. Its description in RNAcentral is "bacterial SSU rRNA". It matches the Rfam family "Bacterial small subunit ribosomal RNA", at positions 97 to 520 of the family's 1533-position model. The record is from RNAcentral.